CGGUGUCGAUGUCGGUGACAUCUUUCUCAAUAACCUCGGCGUCGACCUCGACGUCGGCGACGUCUUUCCCAAUAACCUUAGUGUAAACCUCAAUGUUGGCGUCUUGUCGUCGGCCCUUGGGGUCAAUCUCGACAUAGGCGUAGGCGUUUUUCUCAACAAUCUCACCUCAGCAUUGAUCUUGACCUAGAUGUCGGUGUCGACCUCGACGUCGAUGACAUCUUUCUUAACGCCUUUAGUGCCAAUCUCUAUGCCAGUGUUCACUUCGAUGAGGGCGCCCUGACGUCGAGGGCGUCAACCUCGGGUCGGCGUAGGCGUCUAUUUAAUGAAGGCAAGGGUGUCUCAACGUCGGCGUAGGUGUCCACUUCGAUGAGGGCGCCUCGACAUCGACUUCUCUUCGUCUCUCUUGACGAGGGUACCUCGACGUCGGCUUCUAUUUCGAGAAGGGUGCCUCGAUGUCGGUGUCCAUUUUGACGAGGGCGCUUCGACUUCGGCUUCAACAAGGGUGCCUUGAUGUCGACGUCUAUUUCGAUGAGGGCGCCUCGAAAUUAGCAUCUAUUUCGACGAGGACACCUCGAAAUCAGAAUCUAUUUCGACGAGGGCGCCUCGAAAUUGGAAUCUAUUUCAACGAGGGCGUCUCGAAAUCUGCUUCUAUUUCGGCGAUGGCUCCUCGAAAUAUGCUUCUAUUUAGGCGAGGGCGCCUUGAAAUCGGCAUCUAUUUCAGCGAGGGUGCCUCGAAAUCGACUCUCCUAUUUGACGAGGGUACGUCGACGUCGGUGUUCAUUUCUAUGCGGGUGCCUCGAAAUCGGCGUCUAUUUCGACAAGGAUGCCUCGAAAUCGACUUGCCUAUUUCGGCAAGGAUGCCUCGAAAUCGACUCGCCUAUUUCGACUAGGGCGCCUUGAAAUCGGAGUCUAUUUCGACGAGGUCGCCUCGAAAUAGGAGUCUAUUUCGACGAGGUCGCCUUGAAAUCGGAGUCUAUUUCGACGAGGUCGCCUCGAAAUCGGAGUCUAUUUCGACGAGGUCGCCUCGUAAUUUUCUCAGCAUCAAUCUUAACGUCAGACUACGUAACAACGUCGGCCCUCGCAACCACUGUCAUGGCUUUGAUACAUACUCCGUAUUCCAUUCUUCUAUUUUCCGUAUUCCAUCCUCCUAUUGGCGCCCCCUGUUUUUCUUAGCUAUGUGAGCAGACGCUCAGAAAGAAAAACAAAACAAACGUAAAAUAUUCGAGACAGGGAGCCGAGCAAAACAAUAAAGAAUUGAAACCAAAUUGGAAUGGAGGAUCUAUCUGUCUCGCAUUGCGUCUGAACAACAUCCGGGGAUGGGAUUACCCUCGCUCCCUAUAUAGAACCGAUUGCAGAACCGCCAUAUCCUGCAUAGUCAAAAUUCAUCACGCCAUCCCACCCCGCGUGCAGCGAGGGUGUGGUCCAUCAUCCCACCCCGCCCACGGCGAGGAGUGAGGCACGCCAUCCCACCCUCACCUGCAGAGAGGGUGUGGUCCAUCAUCCCACCCCCGCCCACGGCGAGGAGUGAGUCACGCCAUCCCACCCCCGCGCACAGCUAGGGUGUGGUCCAUCAUCCCACCCCCGCCCACAACGAGGAGUGGGGCACGUCAUCCCACCCCAGCCCGUAGCGAGGGUGUGGUCCAUCAUCCCACCCCCGCCCACGGCGAGGAGUGAGGCACGCCAUCCCACCCCUGCGCACAGUGAGGGUGUGGUCCAUCAUCCCACCCCCGCCCACGGCAAUGAGUGGGCACGCCAUCCCACCCCCGCCCGCAGCGAGGGUGUGGUCCAUCAUCCCACCCCCGCCCACGGCGAGGAGUGAGGCACGCCAUCCCACCCCAGCGCAUAACGAGGGUGUGGUCCAUCAUCCCAGCCCCGCCCGGAGUGGGGCACGCCAUCCCACCCCCGCCCGCAGCGAGGGUGUGGUCCAUCAUCCCACCCCUGCCCACGGCGAGGAGUGAGGCACGCCAUCCCACCCCCGCGCACAGCGAGGGUAUGGUCCAUCAUCCCACCCCCGCCCACGGUGAGGAGUGAGGCACGCCAUCCCACCCCCGCCCGCAGCGAGGGUGUGGUCCAUCAUCCCACCCCGCCCGCAGAGAGGGUGUGGUCCUUCAUCCCACCCCGCCCUCGGCGAGGGGUGAGGCACGCCAUCUUACCCG
RNAcentral lists this long non-coding RNA (2156 nucleotides) under Rosa chinensis. RNAcentral describes it as "sRNA RchiOBHm_Chr1g0340641". The record is from RNAcentral. Lineage: Eukaryota; Viridiplantae; Streptophyta; Magnoliopsida; Rosales; Rosaceae.